GGAGGGGGUGACUAGUGACAGGGUGAGGGAGGGAAGUGGUGACUAGUGACAGAGGGAGGGGUGACUAGGGACAUAGUGAGGGAGGUGGUGACUAAUGACAGUCACCACCUCCCUCACUCUGUCACUAGUCACCACCUCCCUCACUUUGUCACCAGUCAUCCCCUCACUCUGUCACUAGUCACCCCUUCCUUCCCUCACUCUGCCACUAGUUACUCCUUCCCUCAC
Pelobates cultripes (western spadefoot toad) is the source of this 225-nucleotide non-coding RNA. NCBI's taxonomy places the organism in Eukaryota, Metazoa, Chordata, Amphibia, Anura, Pelobatidae. The record is from the annotation of a GenBank genome assembly.